GAUCUCAAAUCAAGUAAGACUACCCGCUGAACUUAAGCAUAUCAAUAAGCGGAGGAAAAGAAACUAACAAGGAUUCCCCUAGUAACGGCGAGUGAAGCGGGAUGAGCUCAAAUUUAAAAUCUGGCUGGUUUACUAGUCCGAAUUGUAGUUUAAAGAAGCGUUUUCGGUGGCAGCCCGGGUAUAAAUCCUUUGGAACAGGGUAUCAUAGAGGGUGAGAAUCCCGUCUUUGACUCAGUGCAUGCUACUAUGUGAUACGUUUUCAAAGAGUCGAGUUGUUUGGGAAUGCAGCUCAAAAUGGGUGGUAAAUUUCAUCUAAAGCUAAAUAUUGGCGAGAGACCGAUAGCGAACAAGUACCGUGAGGGAAAGAUGAAAAGAACUUUGAAAAGAGAGUUAAACAGUGCGUGAAAUUGUUGAAAGGGAAACGC
This 425-nucleotide ribosomal RNA is filed under the name uncultured fungus. Its description in RNAcentral is "eukaryotic LSU rRNA". It matches the Rfam family "Eukaryotic large subunit ribosomal RNA", at positions 1 to 422 of the family's 3401-position model. The record is from RNAcentral. Lineage: Eukaryota; Fungi.